AUGGGAGAGCUGGGACCCCGCAUCACAGGCCUGGUGACAAAGCCACUCCUCCGUGUGGAGUUGACUGCUGUCUGCACUGUCACCUACCCAGGCUGGCUGGUCCUUGCCAUCCUGUCCGUGCUGAGUUCGGCUACCCAGGACUUCAAGCUUGUCAAGUGCUUUGAGGACCCCCAGUAUGAAGAGCUGGUGCAGCUGGCCCGAGACGGGCUGGGGACGACGGCUGAGAGGAAGAGGAUUGUUGUGAUUGGGGCUGGCAUAGCCAGGCUCACCGUGGCCAAGACCCUGCAGGAAGCUGGCCACCAGGUGCACAGCCGGGCUCAGGAGGGUCCCUCUGAGCAGAGGGGGGGGAACUCGGCAGAGGACAGUGCUGGAAAGCAGGGUACAGACCCAGGGGGAGGGCUGGGAGAGCAGGUGGUGGGACCCAGUAGUGGGGCAGACGUGGGAACCGGGGUGUGGGGAUGCGGCUGGCGUGGGCGGGGCCAGGACAGGGCUGUCUUUCCAGGUGACUGUGCUGGAGGCCUCGGGGCGUGUGGGUGGCAGGGUAAAGACCCACAGAGUGCCUGGAGCGCCGUGGCACGUGGAGCUGGGCGCCAUGCGGAUCCCUGUCAGUCACAGGUACGGUGCAGAGCAGGCGGCGGUAGGAAGGCUACCUGGUGGGUGCCCACACCAAGGCCAGAUGACACCAGGAGGGGCAGGCCAGCAGGGGUGGGGAGGGGCUGGGGGCCGUCCCAGAUCAUUCAGAGUUGCAGGCUUCUGUGCUGUCAUCUAUCUAAUGGGCAUGACUGCACUGCCUGCCAGGCAAGGGGCCACAUGCUGGGCACUGCAGAAGGCUACAGCUUGGAGGUCAAGAGCGGCCCGGUCUGCUGGGGCCAUCCCAGAGGGCGGAGUGGGCUCACAGGGUGCAGCCCAGGGACUCGGGAAGGGUGGGGUGGCCUCCAGAGGAUGCACCCCGUGAGCCCCCAUGGCAUCUCUGGGGCUGGAAUGGCUGCACCUGAUGGCCUGGAGGUCACAGGUCCCAGCACAGUGAGACAGCACUAG
This 1038-nucleotide long non-coding RNA is filed under the name Oryctolagus cuniculus (rabbit). RNAcentral describes it as "lncRNA (ENSOCUG00000039188.1)". Lineage: Eukaryota; Metazoa; Chordata; Mammalia; Lagomorpha; Leporidae. The record is from RNAcentral.